Molecule: long non-coding RNA, 484 nt
Filed under: Pongo abelii (Sumatran orangutan)
Lineage: Eukaryota; Metazoa; Chordata; Mammalia; Primates; Hominidae
Description: lincRNA
Source: RNAcentral
AAAUCCCAAACCGUAAAUCAUAAAAGGAUCAGAUACCAAAGACAAUGACAAGACCCAAGAUUUGUUUUACUCUAAAGUGAGAAAUUAUCCUCAACAAAAAAACAUUUCACAGUGAGAAUCAGAAGAAUAUUUGCAUCAGGCAACGCUGGGUGCUAGAUAUUUAUUUUUUUCUUUUUCACAUGAACUGUAAAAACUUACCACAAAAGAUUGAUCUCCACAACUGCUUAUACUCUAGGAUUAUUAUACAUUGCACUGUUCUUGCUAAUACUCCAAAGACAUGUAGAAAAUAGAAAGGUAAGUUUGCAGGGGGAAACAAGAACAAUGGAAUGAAGAAGCAAACAGGGAGUUAAAAUAACUCCCUGGAAUAGUAGAAUCAGGAAAGCAAAGGCAAAGCAUUAAAGACUAAGGGCUGCAUGACUCCUAAGGGGAAAAUGCAUGUAUUUCUUUUAUUUUGCACUGAGAUUAAAUUUGCUGAUUUUUUUUU